UUUCUUCGGAUUGAUAUCCUUAGUGACUGAGUGGCGGACGGGUGAGUAACGCGUGGGUAACCUGCCUCAUACAGGGGGAUAACAGUUAGAAAUGGCUGCUAAUACCGCAUAAGCGCACAGUACCACAUGGUACCGUGUGAAAAACUCCGGUGGUAUGAGAUGGACCCGCGUCUGAUUAGCUAGUUGGCAGGGUAACGGCCUACCAAGGCGACGAUCAGUAGCCGACCUGAGAGGGUGAUCGGCCACAUUGGGACUGAGACACGGCCCAAACUCC
Molecule: ribosomal RNA, 274 nt
Filed under: uncultured Lachnospiraceae bacterium
Lineage: Bacteria; Bacillati; Bacillota; Clostridia; Lachnospirales; Lachnospiraceae
Description: partial 16S ribosomal RNA
Rfam family: Bacterial small subunit ribosomal RNA
Source: RNAcentral